GAGUGGCGGACGGGUGAGUAACACAUGGGUACCUACCCCACAGUGAGGGAUACCGGCGAGAAAUCGCCGACAAUACCGCAUAGGCUUCUCUGUCGAGAGAGAGGGAAGCAAAGUGACGCAAGUCACGCUGGGGGAUGGGCCUGUGGCCGAUUAGCUAGUUGGGGGGGUAAUGGCCUCCCAAGGCGACGAUCGGUAGCUGGUCUGAGAGGACGAUCAGCCACACUGGGAUUGAGAACGGCCCAGACUCCUACGGGGGGCAGCAGUGAGGAAUUUUCCGCAAUGGAGGCAACUCUGACGGAGCAACGCCGCGUGCAUGAGGAAGGUUUUCGGAUCGUAAACUGCUUUUCUCGGGGACGAGCAAGGACGGUACCCGAGGAAGAAGCCCCGGCUAACUACGUGCCAGCAGCCGCGGUAAUACGUAGGGGGCAAGCGUUGUCCGGAUUUAUUGGGCGUAAAGCGCACGCAGGCGGAGCGGGAAGUUUGGGGUGACAGCGUUCGGCUUAACCGGGCGAGUGUCCCAAA
RNAcentral lists this ribosomal RNA (522 nucleotides) under uncultured bacterium. RNAcentral's name for it is "bacterial SSU rRNA". It matches the Rfam family "Bacterial small subunit ribosomal RNA", at positions 93 to 630 of the family's 1533-position model. The record is from RNAcentral.